AGGUGGUUUGCUAUCAUGGAAAUCCAGUUGUUCGUUGUGCUGUUCCUGUACAGAUAUGAAUUUGUGCUUUUGGAUGCAAUACCAAAGGAGAGCCCUUUACACUUGGUGGGGACCCAGCAACCCAUGGCACCGUUCCGGAUCCAGUAUAAAUCCCGGGACUGAAAGCUGCCCAGCUCUAACUGACCUUCCUUUGCCAGCCACCUCUGGAGGGAUGCACCACUGAGCUGUGUCCCUGUCCUGUAUCUUCAGAUAGGUUCUCUGCCUUAACGGUUCUUCAUUUAAACUUUAAAUGCUGUUUAUACCCUGGGUUGUGGUGUGCCAUACCAGUAUAGUCGUAACUGUGCUCCUCACCUGGCUGCCUACCUCCUGGUAUUUCAAAACCAAGCUCUCCUCCUCAUCAUUUGUGGGCCAAUUAUUCACAGACUUUGCAAACCUGAUACACUAAACUCACCAACCAGGCAUUCUGGACGAAAAGGUGCUACGUUUGGAAAUCCUGCGUGGAAGUUGUGCUAGAACCAGCAGAAAGGCAGGUCCCGUGGGCCAGGUCUCUGCUUCCUGCAGGUCCCUUUGAACCGGGGCCAAAGCAGGGCUGUGUGGCACCUCCACAGAUCUCCCUGGUGCUGGGGUGCACAAAAUAUGGGACAGCGCUGAGCAGAGACCUCUGGAGCAGAUCUGCAGCCACGACAGACUCACACUGCCUGUGUGUCACUGCCUGUGUCGCUCCGUGAAGAUCUGUCCUGCUCUGCCUACAAGCGGUGCCAACUUUUUGGAAAUUAAAAGCAUUUCUAAUGGAGAAAUUGCAAGCACGGGAAACACUGUUCCACUGGAGCACCCAAAAUUUCUCCUGAGCUUUAUUUGCUCCACAGGGUUCAGAAUCCUUGCACGAAUAUGCAAUGAAAGUUUGAUCAUGACAUUUGGCUUUAACAAAAAGCCAUUGCAAGAAAAGCUCUUGCCAUCCAUUAGGCUGGUUGUCUAAUAUCUAGAACACUUUUACUUUCCCUUCAACAUGACUGACUGAUAGAACAAAUUGCACAAAUCUAAAAAUAUUUAAUCCUAGUAAAAGUUGUUCAAAGAAGCUGUCAAAUAAGUUCAGAUCCCAACACUGUAACUGCUGUCAGAUUUCAUGUACGAUAAGAGCUGACAUGUAUUUUUAGUCUUUUAAGUAACGAUUAUUCAUCAUUUUAGAGGUAUUUGCAGGAAAAAAAAAAAAAAAAAGGACUUCCAUCAGCAGUAAAAACUAUGG
Molecule: long non-coding RNA, 1243 nt
Organism: Calidris pugnax (ruff)
Lineage: Eukaryota; Metazoa; Chordata; Aves; Charadriiformes; Scolopacidae
Exons: 2
Source: RefSeq, a predicted model, not a curated record